AUGUGGGGGUGGUUCAUUAGAAUCUUGCCUACUCGCGGGCGGGGUCCCGGGUCUCCUACUCCCCCUGUUCCGAAGAUUUGCGCGUGUCGGAUUAUUAUGGCUUUAGCAAGGGACGACGGACGAUCACGGAGGUUUUCGCCGGUGGAGGCUACCCUGAUAGGAUUACAUACAGGGGGUUGGUUGGAGUUGCCCAGGGGCAGAGGGGGAGGAUCAUCUUAUCUCCUGUCUCAAUGGGGGCCAUAA
This 243-nucleotide ribosomal RNA is filed under the name Triticum aestivum (bread wheat). RNAcentral's name for it is "partial small subunit ribosomal RNA". The record is from RNAcentral. Lineage: Eukaryota; Viridiplantae; Streptophyta; Magnoliopsida; Poales; Poaceae.